RNAcentral lists this long non-coding RNA (1651 nucleotides) under Piliocolobus tephrosceles (Ugandan red Colobus). Its description in RNAcentral is "lncRNA (ENSPTEG00000029243.1)". Lineage: Eukaryota; Metazoa; Chordata; Mammalia; Primates; Cercopithecidae. The record is from RNAcentral.
AUGUUAUUUUGUAUAAUAAUGAAAAAAAAAAAAAUUUAUAAUGAAAUAAAAAAAAUGAAUAAUAAUAAAUUUAUAUAUAACAAUAAAAAGAAUAAUAUAUUACAAAUAGAUAUGAACAAAAAUAAAUAUAAAAAAAAUAGUUUACAAAAUUUGGAUACAAAUGUAAAAAAUAAAAUAGGUAGUCACAUAAUGCCUUUAGAAAUAACAACUAAUUUUAAACAUGAAAAACAAAAAGCAUUUUCUUAUUCCGUAAACAGUUUAAACAAUUUAAACAGUUUAAAUAAUUUAAACAGUUUAAAUAAUGUAAAUAAUGUAAAUAAUGUAAAUAAUAUAUAUAACGAAAAUAUCAUGAUAAAAACAAACAAAAUAAGUAAUUUAUUUUGUGAGAAUAAAAAAAAUAAAGAUAUAACUUUUGAUUUUGAUAAAGAAAUAAGUAUUUUUAAUAAUAUGAGUUUGGAUAAUCAAGCAUAUCAUACUAUGGUUAAAAGUAGGAAUAAUAACGACAGUAGUAUAAAUAGUAAUAAUAAUAUGAGUAGUGACAAUAGUAGUAGUAGUAUUAAUAGUAACAACAGUAUAAACAACAAGUCAAAAUAUAUAAAUUUUUUAAAAACAUAUGAUUAUACAAGCUAUGAAAACAAAAAAUCUGACAAUACCAACAAACAAUUUAUAAACGACAAAGAUAAAUAUAAUACAACAUUAUUAGAUACUUUUUUUAAAAAUGAAAAAAUACUGAAAAAAAAUAAACUGUUUAAUAAUAUACAAGAAGAUAUAAAAUUUAUGAAUUUACAAGUAGAAAAUAAUAUGAACAGUGUUAAUAAAUAUUUUGGUUAUAUUAAAGAUGGUCAUAAAAUAAAUAAAGAAAUAAACAAUUGUAAAGAUAAUAGAAGUGGGUAUAAAUCGUAUUUGGAAAAAGAUGGUUACCAAGCUAACACAAGUGCUAACAAUAGCGGUUACAACAAUGGUGACACUUAUAACAACAACAUAGUGAGUAACAGAGAUAGUAACAACAGUAGUUGUAGUAGUAUUAGUGGUAGUAAUAAUAAUAAAAAAAAUAUUUUUCACCGUGUAAUUAACAAUAAUUCUGUAAGUAAUACUAUGACUAACUGUGUGCGUAAGUAUGAAAAUCCAUUUAUAAUUUUUAACGAAAAAAAUAAAGAAAGUUGUGCAAAAAAUUCGAGUUCUUCUACAUAUGAUUGUAGCGAUUUUGAUUUAUAUCGUUCAUCAAGUAAAGAUACUGUUACAAAUUUUUUUAACAGCUAAGUUGUAAAAAAAAAAAAAAAAAAAAAAAAAAAAAUAUAUAUAUAUAUAUAUAUAUAUAUAUAUAUAUAUAUAUAUAUAUAUAUCACGACAGUUGCACUUUUAACAGUUACUGUUAACAGUCAACAUAAUAUUGAACGAACUUAAUAAGUGCUAUUUUUAUAAAUCUAUGCUUUUAAUUUUAUGCAAUGACACAAUAUGUAUAUGUAUAUAUGUAUAUAUAUAUAUGUACGUGUCAUAUUAAAUGAAUGUUAAUCAAACGGUAAACAUGUGCGUAAGCAUAAAUUAUUUGUUAAACCAUUAUGUUCAUAUAUUAUAUUUAUAUACUAUUAAUAUAAACAUUGUGUUUGUAUAUAUUAAUAAAUUUUGUAUAAUUCUCUUUCCCCCCCCGUCC